Molecule: ribosomal RNA, 339 nt
Filed under: uncultured bacterium
Lineage: Bacteria
Description: bacterial SSU rRNA
Rfam family: Bacterial small subunit ribosomal RNA
Source: RNAcentral
GUGAGUAGUUCAGAGUUUGAUCCUGGCUCAGGACGAACGCUGGCGGCGCGCCUAACACAUGCAAGUCGAACGAGUGGAACCCCUUCGGGGGUGAAGCUAGGUGGCGGACGGGUGAGUAACACGUGAGGAACCUGCCUCUCAGAGUGGGAUACCGUUUGGAAACGAACGUUAAUACCGCAUAACGUACAAUUGUCGCAUGGCGAAUGUACCAAAGAUUUAUCGCUGAGAGAUGGCCUCGCGUCUGAUUAGAUAGUUGGUGAGGUAACGGCCCACCAAGUCUGCGAUCAGUAGCCGGACUGAGAGGUUGAUCGGCCACAUUGGGACUGAGACACGGCCCAG